This 543-nucleotide ribosomal RNA is filed under the name Epicoccum nigrum. RNAcentral describes it as "eukaryotic LSU rRNA". The stretch from base 175 to 328 matches the Rfam family "5.8S ribosomal RNA". Lineage: Eukaryota; Fungi; Ascomycota; Dothideomycetes; Pleosporales; Didymellaceae. The record is from RNAcentral.
UUCCGUAGGUGAACCUGCGGAAGGAUCAUUACCUAGAGUUUGUAGACUUCGGUCUGCUACCUCUUACCCAUGUCUUUUGAGUACCUUCGUUUCCUCGGCGGGUCCGCCCGCCGAUUGGACAACAUUCAAACCCUUUGCAGUUGCAAUCAGCGUCUGAAAAAACAUAAUAGUUACAACUUUCAACAACGGAUCUCUUGGUUCUGGCAUCGAUGAAGAACGCAGCGAAAUGCGAUAAGUAGUGUGAAUUGCAGAAUUCAGUGAAUCAUCGAAUCUUUGAACGCACAUUGCGCCCCUUGGUAUUCCAUGGGGCAUGCCUGUUCGAGCGUCAUUUGUACCUUCAAGCUCUGCUUGGUGUUGGGUGUUUGUCUCGCCUCUGCGUGUAGACUCGCCUUAAAACAAUUGGCAGCCGGCGUAUUGAUUUCGGAGCGCAGUACAUCUCGCGCUUUGCACUCACAACGACGACGUCCAAAAGUACAUUUUUACACUCUUGACCUCGGAUCAGGUAGGGAUACCCGCUGAACUUAAGCAUAUCAAUAAGCGGAG